AAUACUGAUAAUAAUCUCUUUAAAGUAUUUGCUUUUUCAAUCCAAAAGUAGAGAGAGAGAAAUAUCAAAAUAUGCUAUCUCAAAACUCAAUGUGUUAACUCUCUCUGGAAUUCUCUCUAAAAAAACCCUAAAACAAAGCUUUAAAUAGUUCACCCUAAAUAAGGAUACAAAAUCAAGGUUACAACUUUUUCUCGAAAUAGACGAUAACUAUUGGUGAUGCCUUAUCAGGAUUCUGACGACUUAUCAAGUAUGUUGUCAGGUCUUCUUCAAAUCUGCACUAGUCCUGUCUUAGGUUGACGGCAAAUUCUGAUGGCUUAUCAGGACUGUGAUGACUUAUCAGAAAUAUCAUCACACUUUUGCUCCAAUUCUCAUGUCCUUCCUAAAACUCUGAUGGCAUUCCUGACACUUAUCACUAUUAUGAAGGCCUAUCAUAAAAUAUCGUCGAUUCUACCAGCUGGAACUCAUUCCUUAUUUAAGGCUGACGAUGGCAUUGAUAGCCUAUCACCGGGCUGACAACCUAUCAUGAAUGUCGUUAGCUGCACUUGUCUUUUAAUUGCUUCAGAUUUUAGCCUUUUUGCUUUCAUUAGUGUUGGUUUCCCUGUAUCUCAACCUUUACUACAAAAUCAAAGUAAAACUAAUCAAAAACAACUAAAGUUUCUCAACACCUUGCAAUUAUUUAGAGUUAAAAGCCUCAAAUAUGUUAGCAUAAGCUCACACAUCAAUGAUUGAUGUUUGUAGUAGGGAUAGUAUGAAAUAAGCUGAAAACUAUACAUCAUUUGGAAGUUGGACAAAAACAAAAUACUAAAGAAUGUCCUGCAAUCACUCAAGAUCCUAGAGGACUUGCAACCUUUUCUUAGGCUGAAGUAACCAGCCUUGCAAACUCUUUAUUUAGCCUUGAUGCAUCUGUACCAAACAACCACUUUGUACAAGUACUUUUAGAUAAAAUUAUCCUUUAAUUAGAACUCAUUUUGACUGUAUAAACAUACAUAAUUCUCAUAGUCAAGAAAACAUGCAACAACUUCGUCUAACUCUCAAAUCCUCCCAACUUAUAAAGGGAUAAAAAUUAAUCUUAAGUAAAUGAUGACAUCACGAGAAGUGUUUUGUUCUUCUAGGAGAGCCAUUUUCUUCAAUAUUCUGAACCUAAGCUUCUCAGUAAAUCCCUAAAAGACAGUCUACUUGCAUGUAACUAGCACUUUGUACACAAUAGUGAUUUUCUAUAUAAUUAUAGCCAUGUGUAUUUAUUCCAUAGGUGUAUAGAUCCCUUUUUUCAUUUUUAUGAGGGUGGUGUUCGUACCAGCUAGUACACCCACCUACCAUUCCACCAGCAUAGUUGUUGGGUAACUCUGUCCAUAGGAAUUGAACCUGAGAGCUUAUUAUACACACCCUCAGGUGCCCCUGGUCUUUCUGUUCAUUACAUUGCUUAGUCAUUAAUAUUAUUUAGGAAUAUUUCCAUAUCUUCAAAUGAAGUUGAUCAAACUAACCAAAUAUAAGUACUUAUUAUAGACAUUCUGAAUUUGGAAUAUUAUAUACACAUGCAUACAAAUACACACAUCAACCUAUUUUCCAUAUUUUCCCCCUAUUCUGUUAGUGUAAGGGAACUCACCUUCUCCUCUAUUCUGAAAUUCCAGCAAGUAACUCAUGUUUAUUACCUUAAGAACUUUAUCUAGUGUCUUACAAGUUUUAUCACAGAUGUAAUUCUCCACCAUUUCCUUACUUUUUACACCUCUUCCUUUUUUUCAUCUCUCUAUCUUUUAAUAUUUUUCAAGGAUAAGCAAGAAUUUUAUCUCCAUUUCUACAAACAGGAAGAAAAUCACUCCAGUAAAUAAGCUUUUCAAAGGAGAGUAGUGAAGGCAAAUGUUUCAUAGAUUCAGAUUCUUUUAAGGCUUGGUUCUUAAAUAGUUCAAUUAGUACAAAUCAUAUAUUAAAUCUUGAUCAAGUAUUCUAGUUAAUAACUAGGACACUAAAGCAAAUUCCAAAACCUGCAUCUUCAACUUACUUCAAAAGCUUUCAGAUUUUGCAUGGACUUAAAUACAAAUGUCAUAAUUUCAAGCACUCAAAUUUGGGUAAAGAAAAUUAUUACCAGCAGAGUGAAACUCUCAGCAUCAUAUAAUCACAAUCAAUUUUCCUUGUGUUGAGUAUCUAUAUGAAAACAACCUUUGUACCUUCCAAGGUAGGGGCAAGGUCUGUGUAUACACUAUCUUACCUAGACCCCACGUUAUGUGAUUACACUGGAUCUGUUGUUAUUAUCAUAUAAUCGUAAUCAAAACUAAGCACACAGUACCUAAGAGUAAAGUAUAAUAGAAAUAUAAGAAACCCAAAACUAUGCAGAAAAAAUCAAAAAAUACGAUAAUAUUUAAAGAAAUAUAACAAACAAGAGAGUAGAUGCUCACAGAAAGACCUUAAGUAUAGCUCUGUUGCUAGUAAUCCAAGUGGAAAUGCCUUCAGGUAAGAUAACAAUAUAUUAUCUAUUACCACAACUCUAGCACCAAGACUUCGGCAACUCUGGCACUAAGAUUAUUUCAACUUCCAAACAGAAAGUGUUUGGAAAGUGCACCAUGUUUAGUUCAUAAGACUUUGGCAAAUUAUAAACUAUGUUGGGGCUGACUGUUUCAAAACAUCUACUAUAAUCUAGUUUAAUGUUGACUUUUAGGAUUAAUUUUUUUUGGAGUGUAUGUUGACUAUUUUGAUGUGCUUGCUGGUUUUCUUGAUAUGAGGUCUAAAAUACACUGAAAGUGUAGUGUAUUUAGCCAUUUUAGCUCAUUUCUUGACUUGGGUCCUGCUCAUUUUCUUGGUUGGAGGUCAAAAACAAAUCGAAAGUUUAGUUAGUGUAGUGUGGCUAGCUAGCUACUUGCUUAACUACAACUGCUAGGCUAUCUGUUACAUAGUAGAACUAAUCCUUUGCUACUAUUUCACGGUAGCACUAAUCCCUACUGCUAGAAUUUUGUCUUUUAAAAGAAAUAUUUGUAGCAGGGAUAGUGUUGAUCAGAAUAUUUGGUCGAUAAAGUGUAAUACAGCUAGUGUAUGAUUGAUGUUUGCAUUGUUGUAGCUCUUUUCUGUGUGUGAUUUGCUAACAGAAAGUGUUUGGAAAGUGUAUAAUUUAAAAGUGUAAUAUAACUAGUGUAUGAUGUUCGGCUAGUGUAUGUUGUUCAGCACUUUUAUCUGGUGAAAUUCUAACAAUAUGGGUUCAGACAAGAGUAGGCACACUAUUUUUUUAUACAACCAAGUUUAGUUCAUAAGACUUUGGAAAAUUAUUAACUAUGUUGGGGCUGACUGUUUUAAAACAUCUUCUAUUUACUUGUUUAAUGUUGACUUUUGGGAUCAGUUUUUUUUGGAGUUUAUGUUGACUGUUUUGGUUGACUCUUUUUCUAUACAUUUUUUCCUUUUCAACAUUCUGAAUUUAACUUGUUCCAUCUUAAAUUUAUACACGUUUGUAUAAAUUUAAGAUGGAAAAGGGCCUUCAAAAAAUAACAAAGGAGCAAGGAACAGGACAUUUAGUAAACCUGGACCAUUAUCAAUCAUGAAAAAUAUAAAACGACGUAUGAUGACAACAAAUGAAAUCAUUCAAGCUAUACGAUCGUAGAAAGAGAAUCUUCUAAAUUAAUUAAACAAGAGCAUCCACCAAUAGCUCUACCAGCACCACCAUCUAGAGAAAUUGAACAAUCUAUAGUGGUGCACCAUGUUGUAGAAGAGUAAUAUGCAGAGGAUAAGCAAUAAGUAGAGGAUUGGGUCCAAAUGACAAAUUAAGCCAAUCCUACAACAACUAAACAUUCUGACGCACAAGGUAAUAUAUAACUUAGAAACUUAUUAAAUUCAUUCAUGACCUAUAAUUUCUUCUAUUUUUAUAGCUGAAGGACCUUUAACUAGAAAAACAAGAGGCAAAACACAAAUGCAGAAGUUACAUGACCGAUAAGAGAAAAAAUUUGAUAACAUUAUCAAAACAACCAUCCUGUUGGUCCUAUUGAUAAAGUUAUAACUGAGUUGGGCAGCUUCCUAAGCAUAUUGGCAAGGAAUGCGACCCUUUUUCCAUUGGAUAUAUUUGAUUGGAGACGUAUGGAGACAAAAAAGGAUUUAUGGGAUUAUACCCAGGUUUUUGUUCUUAAUAUUUGAUUUUUUAGUUUAGUGGUGCAUUAUAUUUGAUAUAUUUUCAGUUGAGUGGUUUUGGUGUCUAUGAAUGUCGUGGCUGCAUUUUCUAGCUUUAUUAUAGAUUAGGUACUUUAUAAUUUGACAACGAAUUAACAAGUAGAUUGACAAGGGGAUUAUUGGAAUUUCUACCCUUUUCUCCUUAAUUAAAGGUGCACUUUUUUGUUGUUCUAACUGAAUGGAACCAACUUAUAGUUAAAAUAUGAUAUUCUUGGUGCCACAAAAGAUUGGGUUUUGGAAAGAAUUCGAGAAUCUUGGAGAAAGCAUAAAGCUGAUUUAAAGGAAGAACGUUACGAUACAUAUGAAAAUGAUGAAGUUCAAUUGACCAAAAGGCCCAAAAGUGUUCUAGAAUGUCAAUUUAAAGAGCUCCUCCUGUAUUGGAAGUGCGAAAAAUUCCAGAAAAUGUCAAAAACCAAUACUGGGAAUCGAAAGAAACUGAUGAAUCUACCUACUACUGGGAAGAAGAAUUUUGCUUUUAGUUCGCAACAAAUUGGAAAAUGAGAAGGGGGGAAAUUUGUCUCUAAAGGAGAUGAUUGUGGCCACAAUAGCAAGAAAACAUGAUCAUACCUACAAGGCGUCUAAUGAAGACACCACCAGUAAAAUUGCUCAAAUGGAGGUAAAUAAAAAAUAAUAGGGUACAAAUGAACAAUCCAUUGAUGCAUUUUCAGUCGUCAUGGGUGCUGAACAUCUGGGAUGUCUAAGAAUAUUUGGAGAGGGUUUACAAAGAUUUCUUUGAAAAGAUUAAACGGUAGAUCUAGACCAACUUUAAAUGCCACAAAAGAUGUCAUGCAACAAAUGCAAGAAAGGAUACAAGAAAUGGAGGAUCAAAUCAAGGAGCAAAAGAGAAUCAUUCAACAAGAAGUUAUUAUAGAUGUAAUUGCUCAACUUGAGAAUGCAAGAAUAAUUGAUCCUAAGACACUGGCAGCAUUUUCCAUUCCUUUACCAAUAUAAUCGACUUGUACACUAGCAUCUACAGGGAGAAAUAGUCAAAAAAGUCAAUGUUAGUAUUUGAAAUUCUGAAUUGUACUCCAGUUCAUUUAGUGGUUGAUAUUAUUGUUGUUGUUAGACUGUAUUGGACAGUUACUGGUGGUUGGUAACUGUGUAUUAUAUAUCA
Capsicum annuum is the source of this 5254-nucleotide long non-coding RNA. RefSeq lists it as uncharacterized. Lineage: Eukaryota; Viridiplantae; Streptophyta; Magnoliopsida; Solanales; Solanaceae. The transcript has 4 exons. The record is from RefSeq and is a predicted model, not a curated record.